UGUCGCUAUGAUGGUCUAUGGCGGCGUGAUGCUGUCACUCUGGUCGGUGUGAUGCCGAUGACGGUGGUGCGAUGCCAUCAUCAUCAUGGAGAGUUGGUGCGAAGCCAAUGAUAGUUGCACCGUGAUGCUGCGGCAAGACGGCGUGGCGACCGCUGCUGCGAUGGCAUGGUCAACGCCAUGACGGUGUCGUCGAGUUCGGUGUUGUGACGGUGUCGUCGACGACAAGGUGCGCAUGAUCGGCGUUGUGACAGCGUCGAUGACGAUAUGAAGUGGAGAUCGGCGCUGCCAAGGCGUCAUUCAUGGGAAUUUGGUGAGCCACCAUGUCAAGAUUAGAAGAGAAAAUGUUAAAAAUAAUCUUGUCAUGUGCCUUAUGCACGUGCAUGUGUGCACAUCAUGCAGUUUAUAGUCUAGGAUAUAAUAUGUCUAGAGAAGCUUCAGCUGUGGGCGCGAAGGAGACGAGAUUCCGGGUUGCCAAUGAGAUGCUGAUGGUGUCGUGUGAUGCGGCGAUGUCGUGAGAAGCUACAAGGCGCGACGGAGGUUGGAGCGUGACGGGCUACACGAACAUGAUGAACCGGUGAGUCAUUCACAUGGGUUUGAAGCAACCAUGCAUGCGUGAGGUAGUUGGCAUGUUGCCGAGUGAUUCGGUCGUGUUCAUUAGUACA
This 662-nucleotide long non-coding RNA is filed under the name Hordeum vulgare. RNAcentral's name for it is "long non-coding RNA (HVUL_LNC017375)". Lineage: Eukaryota; Viridiplantae; Streptophyta; Magnoliopsida; Poales; Poaceae. The record is from RNAcentral.